CCUUAGAGUUCUUUUGUCUUUCUGACUUAUCAUGUAGUUAUUUUCUUUUUGUCGUUUUGCCCUUCUUUCCUUGGCCGUCCUGGCCUUGUAGUGUGCAUAUCGGAAAUGAAAUGAAAAGAGCGUUUUGCGUUACCUCGUCCGCGUGCUGCACUAAUAUUGUUGUCUGCUGAACCUUUCUUGUCGUUUGACUUGUUUGAUGUAGACGUCAUCGGGGGGUGGGGGCUUUUUCCCUUCAUCCGAUCUUGUUAGGCGGCCGGGUUUCGCCACCAUUAACCCCCGCUGCAGAAGUCAUGGCUGGAGCCCGGCUCCCGUAGGAGUCCGGGCGAAGUCUUCCUUGUAGGCGGAAUCCGGCUCCCGUAGGAGUCCGGGUGAAGUCUUCCUUG
This 383-nucleotide long non-coding RNA is filed under the name Elaeis guineensis (African oil palm). Its description in RNAcentral is "long non-coding RNA (EGUI_LNC081938)". The record is from RNAcentral. Lineage: Eukaryota; Viridiplantae; Streptophyta; Magnoliopsida; Arecales; Arecaceae.